AAGUCGUAACAAGGUAACCGUAGGUGAACCUGCGGUUGGAUCAUUAAAAAGAUCUAGCCCGAACUUGGACGAGGUCUUUGAAGACCUCGUUCGAUGCCGGGUUUUCUCACCUAAAAAGUGAGUUAACAUUAUGUGAACUGUUCUGUCUCUGGCGGUGGGGUGGUGUCAAAACCACCUGUCAGCAUCCGAGUUCUCUCGGUGUGCCGUGGACAAGCCGUCAAUGGUGUAUGUUUCAUACAAACUUUUGUUUCAUCAAUCUGUCUGACAUACCUUUGUAUCUAAAAUAUACAAAAACAACUUUUGGCAACGGAUCUCUUGGCUCCC
RNAcentral lists this unclassified non-coding RNA (324 nucleotides) under Powellomyces sp. RNAcentral describes it as "partial internal transcribed spacer region". The stretch from base 1 to 46 matches the Rfam family "Eukaryotic small subunit ribosomal RNA", at positions 1786 to 1831 of the family's 1831-position model. The record is from RNAcentral. Lineage: Eukaryota; Fungi; Chytridiomycota; Chytridiomycetes; Spizellomycetales; Powellomycetaceae.